AGCCCCGUAGUGUAGUGGUCAAUCAUACGAGACUCUGGUUCUCGUGACAUCGGUUCGAAUCCGUUCGGGGCUA
Molecule: non-coding RNA, 73 nt
Organism: Thermoplasmatales archaeon SM1-50
Lineage: Archaea; Methanobacteriati; Thermoplasmatota; Thermoplasmata; Thermoplasmatales
Source: Rfam